CCUACGGGUGACAGCAGUGAGGAAUAGUGGUCAAUGGGCGCGAGCCUGAACCAGCCAAGUAGCGUGAAGGAUGACUGCCCUACGGGUGGUAAACUUCUUUUAUAAAGGAAUAAAGUGAGGCACGUGUGCCUUUUUGUAUGUACGUUAUGAAUAAGGAUCGGCUAACUCCGUGCCAGCAGCCGCGGGAAUACGGAGGAUCCGAGCGUUAUCCGGAUUUAGUGGGUUUAAAGGGAGCGUAGAUGGGUUGUUAAGUCAGUUGUGAAAGUUUGCGGCUCAACCGUAAAAUUGCAAUUGAUACUGGCAGCCUUGCGUCCAGUUGAGGUUGGCGGCAUUCGUGUUUUCGCGGU
RNAcentral lists this ribosomal RNA (347 nucleotides) under uncultured bacterium. Its description in RNAcentral is "partial 16S ribosomal RNA". It matches the Rfam family "Bacterial small subunit ribosomal RNA", at positions 338 to 682 of the family's 1533-position model. The record is from RNAcentral.